AUGGCUGCCUCCUCCAGCGCUGCACCGGCCAACCUCUCUGGUCAGGUCACCGAGAAGUUGACUCGCACCAACUACAUCCUUUGGCGGACUCAGGUCAUGCCGCAGCUUCGUGGUGCAGGCUUCUUCGGGUACGUCGACGGCUCCAUGCCUGGGCCAUCCAGACUCGUCGUCACCAAGGACAAGUACGGGAAGGAAGAAGCUUCACCGAACCCCCUUCUGAAGGAAAUAUGCCCUAGAGGCAAUAAUAAAGUUGUUAUUUAUAUUUCCUUAUAUCAUGAUAAAUGUUUAUUAUUCAUGCUAUAA
This 303-nucleotide ribosomal RNA is filed under the name Triticum aestivum (bread wheat). Its description in RNAcentral is "partial small subunit ribosomal RNA". Lineage: Eukaryota; Viridiplantae; Streptophyta; Magnoliopsida; Poales; Poaceae. The record is from RNAcentral.